Molecule: long non-coding RNA, 920 nt
Filed under: Nicotiana benthamiana
Lineage: Eukaryota; Viridiplantae; Streptophyta; Magnoliopsida; Solanales; Solanaceae
Description: long non-coding RNA (NBEN_LNC017487)
Source: RNAcentral
GCAAAAGUGUGAAAGUUUAAUAAUACAAAACUGAGAUGAAACAAAAGAAAGAAAAUAAUUAUUUCCUGAAGAGAAGGGGCCAUGUAAGUUUGCUGUUACAGAAUGUUUUGCGCAUGUCUCUAUACAAUGUAGAAAAUUGUAAUAAAGGAUUUCCAAAAUUAUAACUAAUGAGAACUUUUCCACAUUCUUGAUUCCUACAAAAAAAAAAAAAAAAAAAAUUACCCCCAAAAUUGCAAUACCUAGAUUGAAACCCAGGCUGAACCUGAAAGAAUAAUACAUUCGGGUACAAGGAAAGUACCCAACUCGGAUGGGAUAUGAUUGGCGAGGAUUACAAUAUUUUAGGAUUGCGAACCGCAAGGACCAACAAAGGCUUUAAUAUAUGUUCCCAAAAUAAGAUUAUCAAUGGAUUCCGGACAAUCCAUUAACUAAACAAAUCGCAAAGCUCUCAACUAAACAAGCAAAGAAAUUUCAAAGAAAUUUCGGAGAAGCCAUUACACAAAAAAGGAAUUUGAGAAAUUUCAAAAAAGCCAAAUCUCAAAGUUAUUACACUACCAAAUUCCUUAGAGAAAUCUUACACAAGAUUUUGAAAUAUGGAGAUCAGCAACAACCCUAAGCCCAAAAAUCAAAAUCCCCGAUUGAAUUUUGAUGGCCACAGAGCUCCAACGAAAAGAGAGUUUUGACUUUUGAAAAGUGAAAUUAAAAGAAAUAUAGCACUUCCAUCAGGGAUUUCCAGAAACCAACAAUACUAAUUUGCUUCAUAGUUACAAGAUAAGCCAAAUUUUAGAGGAGAGGAUGGAUGGGAUAAUCCUGUAGAGUGGGUAAAACUUGAAAAAAUAUAUUUUAGCGAAACAUUUUAGGCCAUAAUUAUUCGGCCAAAUUUUAGGGGAAAAUUUGAGCGGAAAUAUUUAAGGGACUUUACA